RNAcentral lists this ribosomal RNA (253 nucleotides) under uncultured bacterium. RNAcentral describes it as "partial 16S ribosomal RNA". It matches the Rfam family "Bacterial small subunit ribosomal RNA", at positions 524 to 776 of the family's 1533-position model. The record is from RNAcentral.
UACGUAGGGGGCAAGCGUUGUCCGGAUUUAUUGGGCGUAAAGAGCUCGUAGGCGGUUUGUCGCGUCUGCUGUGAAAACUCGGGGCUUAACUCCGGGCCUGCAGUGGGUACGGGCAGACUAGAGUGCGGUAGGGGAGACUGGAAUUCCUGGUGUAGCGGUGAAAUGCGCAGAUAUCAGGAGGAACACCGAUGGCGAAGGCAGGUCUCUGGGCAUUAACUGACGCUGAGGAGCGAAAGCAUGGGGAGCGAACAGG